GCAAGCAGUUUUGUGUGUGUGUGUGUGUGUGUGUUUUUAAUGACUAGCCCAGGGUCACACAGCUAGUCAGUGUCUGAGGCUGGAUUUGACCUUGGGUCUUCCUGACUCCAGGCUCAGUGCUCUGUGCCCCAUUCUAACUAGGGUCUUUAACGCUUUCUCACUUUCAUUGGGCAGGACUUACCAUGUCCAAACCUGCUGUGAUCCGUCAGUUGGAACAAGGGGAAGUACCGUGGAUGCCCGACGGAGACGCCUCAGGACGCUGCUGUCCAGAUUGGGAUAUUAGUCCUGGAAUCACAUACUGUGCUCCAAACUUGGACGUUUCCACAGAACUGUCAUUGCAGAAAAGUCUUGGAAGGAAGGAUCUCUUCAUCUCCAACUUGGGAGAAUCCUGGGAAUGUGAUGCUAGGUUAGGGAAGCAACCGGGUAGGAAGGAGAAACAUUCUGGGUAAGUAAGAAUCACCCAACAAAGUGAGAAGCCAUGAGGAUAGUGACCCUAGAGGAAGCUUCACUGCAGGACCAGUCUUCUUUUCCAAAUAGAGAAGAUGCAUAGGGAAGAGUCUUCAUAAUUGCUACUUACACACAAAGAGCUUCAGGAAAGUGUCAUGAAGGUGGUUAACAUUUCAGUUCUAAGUUAAAUCUUAUUACCUUUCAUAGAUCAUGUCCUGGAGAAAAACAUUAUAAAUAUGGAGAAUAUUGAGAAAUCUUCAGAAGGAGCCCAGAUAUCAAUUACUCUAAGUCAGUUGAUACCCCAUAAAGAGAAGCCCCAGAAAAAAAAAACAGAUAAUAAACGUCUGAAGGCUUUCCCCCA
RNAcentral lists this long non-coding RNA (808 nucleotides) under Vombatus ursinus (common wombat). Its description in RNAcentral is "lncRNA (ENSVURG00010007300.1)". The record is from RNAcentral. Lineage: Eukaryota; Metazoa; Chordata; Mammalia; Diprotodontia; Vombatidae.